UACAGGGGGUGCAAACGUUGCUCGGAAUCAUUGGGCGUAAAGGGCGCGUAGGCGGCCAACUAAGUCAGACGUGAAAUCCCCAGGCUCAACCUGGGAACUGCGUCUGAUACUGGAUGGCUCGAGUUCGGGAGAGGGAAGCGGAAUUCCAGGUGUAGCGGUGAAAUGCGCAGAUAUCAGGAAGAACACCCGUGGCGAAGGCGGUUCUCUGGGACGGUACUGACGCUGAGACGCGAAAGCGUGGGGAGCGAACAGG
This 253-nucleotide ribosomal RNA is filed under the name uncultured bacterium. Its description in RNAcentral is "partial 16S ribosomal RNA". It matches the Rfam family "Bacterial small subunit ribosomal RNA", at positions 524 to 776 of the family's 1533-position model. The record is from RNAcentral.